AUACGGAGGGGACAAGCGUUAUUCGGAAUCACUGGGCGUAAAGGACGCGUAGGCGGGUUAUUAAGUCGGGUGUGAAAUCCAAUGGCUCAACCAUUGAACUGCAUUCGAAACUGAUAACCUAGAGUAUGGAAGGGGCAGGUGGAAUUAGUGGUGUAGGGGUAAAAUCCGUAGAUAUCACUAGGAAUACCGAAAGCGAAGGCGACCUGCUGGGACAUUACUGACGCUGAGGCGUGAAAGCGUAGGGAGCAAACAGGAUUAGAAACCCGAGUAGUCC
This 274-nucleotide ribosomal RNA is filed under the name uncultured bacterium. Its description in RNAcentral is "partial 16S ribosomal RNA". It matches the Rfam family "Bacterial small subunit ribosomal RNA", at positions 523 to 796 of the family's 1533-position model. The record is from RNAcentral.